AGCGAACGCUGGCGGCGUGCCUAACACAUGCAAGUCGUACGAGAAGGGGGCCGCAAGGCCCCUGGUACAGUGGCGAACGGGUGAGUAACACGUGGGUAACCUGCCCUUGGGUUCGGAAUAACCUGUCGAAAGGCGGGCUAAUACCGAAUGACAUCGCAUAGUCUUCGGACCGUGCGAUCAAAGCUGACCUCUUCAUGAAAGUUGGCGCCUGGGGAGGGGCCCGCGGCCCAUUAGCUAGNGGUGAGGUAACGGCUCACCAAGGCUCCGAUGGGUAGCCGGCCUGAGAGGGCGACCGGCCACAGUGGAACUGAGACACGGUCCACACUCCUACGGGAGGCAGCAGUGAGGAAUCUUGCGCAAUGGGGGAAACCCUGACGCAGCGACGCCGCGUGGACGAUGAAGGCCUGGUCGUAAGU
RNAcentral lists this ribosomal RNA (416 nucleotides) under uncultured bacterium. RNAcentral describes it as "bacterial SSU rRNA". It matches the Rfam family "Bacterial small subunit ribosomal RNA", at positions 28 to 431 of the family's 1533-position model. The record is from RNAcentral.